Molecule: ribosomal RNA, 279 nt
Filed under: uncultured bacterium
Lineage: Bacteria
Description: partial 16S ribosomal RNA
Rfam family: Bacterial small subunit ribosomal RNA
Source: RNAcentral
UGCCAGCCGCCGCGGUAAUACGGAGGGUGCAAGCGUUAAUCGGAAUUACUGGGCGUAAAGCGCAUGCAGGCGGUUUGUUAAGCGAGAUGUGAAGGAGUACAGCUUAACUGUAUAUGGGCAGUGGAAACUACAAGACUGGAGUGUGGUAGGGGUAGAGGGAAUUCCCGGUGUAGCGGUGAAAUGCGUAGAUAUCGGGAAGAACACCAACGGCGAAAGCACUCUACUGGGCCAACACUGACACUGAGAGACGAAAGCUAAGGGAGCGAAAAGGAUUAGAUA